UACGUAGGGUGCGAGCGUUAAUCGGAAUUAUUGGGCGUAAAGGGCGCGUAGGCGGUGCGGUAAGUCACCUGUGAAAUCUCCUGGCUCAACUGGGAGCUUGCAGGCGAAACUGCCGUGCUGGAGUGUGGGAGAGGUGCGUGGAAUUCCUGGUGUAGCGGUGAAAUGCGUAGAUAUCAGGAGGAACACCUGUGGCGAAAGCGGCGCACUGGACCACAACUGACGCUGAGGCGCGAAAGCUAGGGGAGCAAACAGG
RNAcentral lists this ribosomal RNA (253 nucleotides) under uncultured bacterium. RNAcentral describes it as "partial 16S ribosomal RNA". It matches the Rfam family "Bacterial small subunit ribosomal RNA", at positions 524 to 776 of the family's 1533-position model. The record is from RNAcentral.